AUCGAUCUGCAUCAGGUCCGGCUACUUUGCUUUUUCAAUGCUUGGCUGAUUAAGGUGCUCAACCGGAGUUGAAUGUAUGAACUGUGUGUCCAUCACUGAUCUCAGGCUUGCCAGAGCAUCUGCAUCUGUGUUCUCUACUCGAGGAACUUGUUGGAUAGUAAAGGUAAGGAAUGCCUUCAAAAGCUCUUGGACUUUAGUGUGUGCUUCGCCAUGUACGCC
RNAcentral lists this long non-coding RNA (219 nucleotides) under Prunus persica (peach). RNAcentral's name for it is "long non-coding RNA (PPER_LNC000775)". The record is from RNAcentral. Lineage: Eukaryota; Viridiplantae; Streptophyta; Magnoliopsida; Rosales; Rosaceae.